RNAcentral lists this ribosomal RNA (253 nucleotides) under Faecalibacterium prausnitzii. Its description in RNAcentral is "partial 16S ribosomal RNA". It matches the Rfam family "Bacterial small subunit ribosomal RNA", at positions 524 to 776 of the family's 1533-position model. Lineage: Bacteria; Bacillati; Bacillota; Clostridia; Eubacteriales; Oscillospiraceae. The record is from RNAcentral.
AACGUAGGUCACAAGCGUUGUCCGGAAUUACUGGGUGUAAAGGGAGCGCAGGCGGGAAGACAAGUUGGAAGUGAAAUCCAUGGGCUCAACCCAUGAACUGCUUUCAAAACUGUUUUUCUUGAGUAGUGCAGAGGUAGGCGGAAUUCCCGGUGUAGCGGUGGAAUGCGUAGAUAUCGGGAGGAACACCAGUGGCGAAGGCGGCCUACUGGGCACCAACUGACGCUGAGGCUCGAAAGUGUGGGUAGUAAACAGG